This 406-nucleotide ribosomal RNA is filed under the name Verrucomicrobiota bacterium. Its description in RNAcentral is "Verrucomicrobia bacterium partial 16S ribosomal RNA". It matches the Rfam family "Bacterial small subunit ribosomal RNA", at positions 355 to 776 of the family's 1533-position model. The record is from RNAcentral. Lineage: Bacteria; Pseudomonadati; Verrucomicrobiota.
UGGGGAAUAUUGGACAAUGGAGGAAACUCUGAUCCAGCAAUUCUGUGUGUGUGAAGAAGGUUUUAGGACUGUAAAACACUUUUAGUAGGGAAGAAAAAAAUGACGGUACCUACAGAAGAAGCAACGGCUAAAUACGUGCCAGCAGCCGCGGUAAUACGUAUGUUGCGAGCGUUAUCCGGAAUUAUUGGGCUUAAAGGGUACGUAGGCGGUCUAUUAAGUCAGGUGUGAAAGCGUGAGGCUUAACCUCAUUAAGCACUUGAAACUGAUAGACUUGAGUGAAGGAGAGGAAAGUGGAAUUCCUAGUGUAGCGGUGAAAUGCGUAGAUAUUAGGAGGAAUACCGGUGGCGAAGGCGACUUUCUGGACUUUUACUGACGCUCAGGUACGAAAGCGUGGGGAGCAAACAGG